CCUACGGGAGGCAGCAGUGAGGAAUAUUGGUCAAUGGGCGCAAGCCUGAACCAGCCAAGUCGCGUGAGGGAUGACGGUCCUAUGGAUUGUAAACCUCUUUUGUCGGGGAGCAAGGCCCGCCACGUGUGGCGGGAAAGAGAGUACCCGAAGAAAAAGCAUCGGCUAACUCCGUGCCAGCAGCCGCGGUAAUACGGAGGAUGCGAGCGUUAUCCGGAUUUAUUGGGUUUAAAGGGAGCGUAGACGGUUAUGUAAGUCUGGAGUGAAAGCCCGGGGCCCAACCCCGGGACUGCUUUGGAAACUGUGUAACUGGAGUACAGGAGGGGCAGGCGGAAUUCCUGGUGUAGCGGUGAAAUGCGUAGAUAUCAGGAGGAACACCGGCGGCGAAGGCGGCCUGCUGGACUGAAACUGACGUUGAGGCUCGAAAGCGUGGGGAGCAAACAGGAUUAGAUACCCCAGUAGUC
RNAcentral lists this ribosomal RNA (461 nucleotides) under uncultured bacterium. Its description in RNAcentral is "partial 16S ribosomal RNA". It matches the Rfam family "Bacterial small subunit ribosomal RNA", at positions 338 to 795 of the family's 1533-position model. The record is from RNAcentral.